Molecule: long non-coding RNA, 4221 nt
Organism: Papaver somniferum (opium poppy)
Lineage: Eukaryota; Viridiplantae; Streptophyta; Magnoliopsida; Ranunculales; Papaveraceae
Exons: 10
Source: RefSeq, a predicted model, not a curated record
GAAAAAUAAAUCCGGAAAAAAAAAUGUACGAGAGAGCAAAUUCAGAGAAAGAUCUUGGAACAAACCCUAGAAACAAAUCAUUAAUGGCAGCAAAAUCAUGAAGAGUGCGGAAACAUAACAUAAUAUCUCCUUCACUGAAUCUACAAUUCUCUUUUCUCUUCGACCUCUCACAGAAUUGUAACACUGAGGGUUCGAGAUCGAUAAUUUAAUGAUAAAGAAGAUCGUUGUCUGAUUCCGUUGGCAGAGUAGAUGGGGAAGAAAUUGAUGGUGGUCUGUUGAUAUCGAGAAGAAGGAAUUGAUGGAAAUUUGCUAAAUUAGGGUUUGGAUUGAGAUAUGAAGAUGAUUCUGAUAAUACUGGUGUUAACAGCGGGGAAUUGGAAUUGGGUUUUGUCUGAAUUAGGCUUUGAGAUGUUGGUGAUGAGCUCUGUCCAGAAGAAUUUAUAUUAGGGUUUGGUGAUCUGAGCGAAUUCUGUUUAGAUUUCGGUAAUCUUUUUCGAUUAUGCUGUUGAAUUCAGAGAAGCAGAUUCAGAGUAAACAACGAGGAAUUGAAGUGGUUUUGAUUGAAGUAGGUUUGGGUUUGUCUCGAAUUAACAGUUCAGAGAAGAUGAUAAUGGUAAAAUUGGAGUUAGGGUUUCUAGUGAAAUUGGAGUUAAGGUUUCUUGAUUUGUCCAGAUUGCUCUGUGAUUGAUUUCUCGGUUGAUGCACGAAUUUCUCGAAAUUGUGGCCCUCGGGUUGAUCAUGCAGAGAAGCUUGAAAAAGGAGUAUCGGAAUUGAGAACUGACAGUCGUGGGCUUGAGGUCUAUGUUUAUGGUAUCAGAAGCCAUUGUGAACAUCAACACCAGUUUAAUCACUGUUACUACAGAAAGUGGUGAGUACCCUUCAGGAACAUACUAGGAAGAUCAAUGAAGCCUGAAGGAUUUUUAUGUACCCAAUCAGAGCAAACACAACAGACAACUGGCCUCUACUGAUAAUCCAGACUGAUCCGUGAACGUUUGAUUGUGGAAGACCUUCCGUUCCUAGAAAAUACCUAUAGAUUUGGGCACCACUAACUUAUAUGGGUUUUCUUUUAGUAUCUAUAUCUAUCAUUCUCGAAUCCUUGGCAGGGAUGGUGGGUACUCUGGGAACUUGCCUUACGGAAUAGGUAAAUAUGCUCAGUUUAGUUUAGCAGAUGGGGGAUUGAUGUGUGAUGAUGUCCAUUGUGGGGCUGUGAAGAAAGCAUACUUAAUUAAAAUUCCCUCUUUGGAUUCGACAUGAUGAUUCUGCCUUUCUAGACUGUCCUCUGAGGACUUCCAAUACUAGAUUCUUGAGCAUGCUAUAGAUGGAAAAUCCAAGAUAACAUUGAGGUACUCAUAUAAGUAGUUUUUGAAGUUGUUGAGGAGCUAGCUGUUCCUGAGAAUAAAUUCAUAUAAGGGCAAAAUCAGUUUCUUUAAUAAGGGAAUAGAGUUCAAAAGAUAACAAUGGUUUGGUUGUAUGGAUUGCGCUUGACAACCACCCACUGUAUUGUGAAGGACACAAUUUAUUUUGUGUCCAUAUUGAUGCGCUAAAGGUACGUGCAUAUCGAAUCCUUUGUCUUGCUGCUUCGUUGCUUAAGCUUUCUUAUUUUAUAUCUCAUCCGAGCAUAAUAAUUCAUGUGAAUCACUAAAAUAUUUUGGAACCUCACCUGUGGAUAGAAUCAGAUGCAUUGAAUUAUGUACAUGGUUUUGAACUUGCAACUAAUAUGAUUUUGAUACAGAUCACAUCCCACACUUUCCGCUUCCUCUAGGCAGUGUACGUAGGCUGUAAGAUUUUCUUUCCAUGUGGUAUACUGGUGAGUUGCAGUUUCAAUGUAGAAUCAGUUCCACUUUCUCCCAGAUGAUAACAUUGUAUUACCGAAGUUUUUAGAACUAUAAUGUGAAAGCGGAAAUUUACCCAAAAGAGACAACUGAUUGCAAUAUUGGACCUCUUGACAUGCAUAAUUGUUAUAAUUUUAGUUUUGAGUUAAUCAACCUAGCCAGUGUUUCUUUACCAGUAUAGUGAUUUGGUAUCAAUUUAAAAUGUAACUGUCAUAUGUAAUGAAAAGGUAUUUAUGUAUCUAUUAUGACAUUGUUCUUUUUACUAAGCUUACAGAAGUGCUGACAAGAUUUGGUUAAAGUUCAAAAGGAUGUGGUGAUUACAGACACAAACCUAUUCCUCCACAUUCGACUGCCAAGGCUUUUGCGUGUAUUUAAGCCAAGGAGAUAGCGAUGCUGAUGCAUUUCUUAUAAUGAUAUAAUUGUAGGGGGAUAAAUUAUAUUAUCCCCCUACAAUCAUCUCCUCUUUUCUCUUUAACCUUCGACCCUCAUUUCAGAUGUUUAUCUAUUUCAAUCGAAUCAGCUUAAUGAAAAACAACAAUCUGGGGCCGUGCUGUAAUUGGGGAUUUCGUCAAAGUCAGUUGGAGCUGUGCUGUAAUUGGGGAUUUCGUCAAAGUCACCGAGAAACAGUAAUUGGGGAAUUUUGGAGAUGCGCUGUAAUUGGGGAUUUUUAAAUUUGAUUCAAAUCAGUUGAAGUGUCAUUAAUCAGUAGAGUUUUUUAUACAUCGAACUCUUUAAUCUUCUUUUCGUGAAUUUCCGGCGCAAUCAAAACCGGUAGUUCAAAUUUGGAUUUUUGGUUUAGGGUUCAGUAGUAUUGGAUUUGCGUUUGGUUUUUUCUGAUGGUUCAAUUAUAAGUUUUGCUGAUGGAAUAUAACAUCGUUUAAUGUCGAUAGUUGUGUUCAUGGGAGACCCAGAUGGAUUUGGAGUUUAAGCUUCCCCAUGUUCUAGCACGGGACAAUCAGAGGUUGAAUUGGAGCUGUGAUCGUCGAGCAGUUUUCAUGGAUUUGCAUCUAAUUAUAGUCACCACUGAGUGCAUGAAAGAAGUUAAGUGUUCAUGGACCGUCGAAGCUUCCACGAACUGUUUCGAGGGCAAGAUUGAGACUAUUCUUAGUCGUCAGAACCAGCUAGCUUGCAAUGAGUUCAAUUUGAGAGUUGUUAGUCAGGUGGGUGUCCCUUGGAGCAUCAAUACGCAUCCCAAGUUUCUGAUUGGGUUUCUAGGUAUCAUAGAAAAAAAUUAAUUGCACAACAAAUGAGGUAUUCAUCUCAAGAUUCGGCGACAAGAGGCAUUAAACAAGUGACAUGAUGGACAGUCCAGUGAUGCCAAACUCCCAUGUUCAUUCCAGCGUCACAAUCUAUUGUUAAGAAGAGACAUCGAUUCAGUAUAUACUGGCAUAUGACAGAGAGAUACCAAUAUGUGCGAAGACUAAAGUUGCCUGGAGUCCAUCAACUUAAGAAGAAAUAAUGGCGGCAUCUGCGAUAGGCUCUUUCUUAUGGAUGGGGGUGAAUGUGCUGAAGCCUAAGGAACAUGAGACUUGAAAGCGGAUCCAUAGAAUAAGGAGCUUGCAGAUAGCUUACUAAAGCUAAAAGGGUUCAAGUCGCUGACUCAAUUCUAACUCAAGUGGCGGGUAUAUAUAUUGAGAUCUAUGUACGGGGAUAAUUCUUCUUUUUCUCUUUUUUGUUUUCCUUUUUGUGAUUUUAUUUUCUUUGCUGCUAAUGCAACGGUUGUGAGUAAUCAUAAGCUAUUACUUGCAUGUUGUGCAAAUGCUGCUUCUAUAUAUUGGUUAACUGGAUGGUUGUUUUGUAAAUGCUUUUGACCGAGUAUCCGUAACUAUAAGCAUAACCUCAUGUUUUGUAAAUGCAUUGGGCUGGGCGAGGCGAAGCCGAGCCUCACCAAAUAAAAAAUCUUAAGCGACGGGAAAGGAUGCAUCAGGACAGGGGCGAGGCGAAGCCGAGCCACACCAAAUCAAACAUGCAUGGGGACGGGGCGAGGCGCAGCGAGCCACACCUAAUCAAAAAUACAUCGGACAGGGCGAGGCGAAGCCAACCACGCCAAAUCAAAAAUGUAUCGCGAUGAGGUGGGGCAAAGCCCCGCAACACCAAAUCAAAAAUGCACGACGGGACGAGGCGCAGCCGAGCCACACCUAAUCAAAAAUGCAUGGGGACGGACACCUAAUCAAAAAGACAUCGUACGGGGCGAGGCGAAGCCGACCACACCAAAUCAAAAAUGUAUCGCGGGGUGAAGCCCCGCAACUCCAAAUUAAAAAUGCACGACGGGACGGGGCGAGGCGCAGCCAAACCACACCUAAUAAAAAGUACAUUGGGACAGGGCGAGGCAAAGCCGACCACAACAAAUCAAAAAUGUAUCGCGACGAGGUGGGGAGAAGCCCCGCAA